Lotus japonicus is the source of this 1638-nucleotide RNA transcript. It is a transcript of the gene named ABC transporter I family member 6, chloroplastic, with no coding region annotated. The transcript is spliced from 7 exons. The record is from RefSeq and is a predicted model, not a curated record. Lineage: Eukaryota; Viridiplantae; Streptophyta; Magnoliopsida; Fabales; Fabaceae.
CACAGAGAAACACCUAGUUUUGUUAUCUCUGUGUUGGGUUUUGCAGUGUAACUACAACAUGGCUGUAUCACUAUCUUCCCCAUUCCACUGCUCUCCCACCACCAACACUCUCCGUCUCCGAUCACCGCCAAAACCCACUUUCGUCACUCUCCGCCGCACUUGCGUGGCGGCGACCGCUGCCACUGACACUUCACAGAGUCCUCUGCUCCAAGUCAAUGAUCUCAAGGCUAAGAUCGUCGGAGAACACAAGGACCUUCUCAAAGGCCUCAACCUCACCAUCAACAGAGGAGAGGUUCACGCUCUCAUGGGAGCAAACGGUUCUGGAAAGAGCACUUUUGCCAAGGUUCUUGUUGGGCACCCGGAUUAUGAGGUCACCGGAGGUAGAGCUGUGUACAAAGGGGAGAAUCUGCUUGACAUGGAACCGGUGGAUAGGUCACUUGCUGGUAUUUUCAUGAGUUUCCAGUCCCCUGUUGAGAUUCCUGGUGUUAGUAAUUAUGAUUUUCUCCUAAUGGCUUACAAUGCUAGAAGGAAAAAAUCUGGCCUCCCUGAGCUUGGAGCAAUUGAGUUCUUGACUCAUUUCAUGGAGAAAACCAAACUUGUUAACAUGAAGGAAGGAUUCCAAAAUAGGAAUGUCAAUGAAGGAUUUAGUGGUGGUGAAAAGAAACGCAAUGAAAUUUUGCAGCUCGCGGUUUUUGGUGCAGACUUGAUUAUUCUGGAUGAAAUUGAUUCUGGAUUGGAUGUGGAUGCGCUCAGGGAUGUGACGAAUGCAGUUAAACAGAUUCUGACCAAAGAUACUUCUCUAUUGAUCAUAACUCAUUAUCGACGAGUCCUGGAUCUAUUGAAUCCUGAAAGGGUCCAUGUUUUGGAGGAAGGGAAAAUUACAAGGAGUGGCGGCAUGGAGAUCGUAGAAUCUAUUGAAGCAGAUGGAUUUGGAAAAGUCACCGCUAGAACUUAAUACAGCUGCCAUCUGUUUCCUUUCUGAAUUUGGUGCCUUUCUCUGUAUUAACAUGCUAGAAGAUAAGAAAACUUUGAAUCCCAGUGCAUCAACAUUAGUCUCUCAUUUCAUCGCUCCAGAUAAUGAGCAUAGUUUGGGUGCACUAGUAGAUAAGUAAGCAGUGUUGUAGAUGAGUGAAGCAGUAGAACAUAUAUUCUAAUGGCUCCUUCCAUUUCCUCCCCCUCCUCUCGGUAAAACUGAAGUAGCAGGCUGUGUAAAGCUCAUUUUGGCGGAUUUUAUUUAUUGAAUCAGAUUCUUCUGGAUAGCUCCUUCCAUUUCCUCCCCCUUCUGUGUAGGUGGAUUUUUUUAUUUACUGAAUUGGGUUCUUCUGACGUUUCCACAGGAUCUGAUUAAAAAGAGUAUUGAACCAUUGAAUUAUGCAUUUAACAACUUAUCAAUGGAGAUCUGUAAUAUACAGAUUUUGAAAGUUUUGUUGUUUGUCUUUCUAUAAGUUUGAAGUAUUGUUUCCAAGCCCAGCAGUGAGAAAAGACUUGGUCAUUAUUGUAUUGGAAGAAUUGUUAGGUAUUCUACGAACUUUUGGUUUUGCAUAAAUUGUGCCAAGUUCGCAGCUACUGGAGUUUGAUUUGUAAUUCCUUCAGUAAAAAAAAGUACUAAAUUUUCCUGAAUUUAGGGAUCUUUCGGAA